AAGUCGUAACAAGGUCUCCGUUGGUGAACCAGCGGAGGGAUCAUUACAGAGUUGCAAAACUCCCUAAACCAUCGCGAACGUUACCUUUACCGUUGCUUCGGCGGGGGGCUCCAGGGCGGAGCCGCAGCCCUCACAGGCGCCCGCCGGCGGCACUACAAACUCUUUUUUAUUACAGGCCUCUCUGAGUAAUUUAUACAAAUAAGUUAAAACUUUCAACAACGGAUCUCUUGGUUCUG
Molecule: unclassified non-coding RNA, 236 nt
Filed under: fungal sp.
Lineage: Eukaryota; Fungi
Also listed under: 1 other name
Description: partial internal transcribed spacer region
Rfam family: Eukaryotic small subunit ribosomal RNA (bases 1-46)
Source: RNAcentral